Molecule: non-coding RNA, 83 nt
Filed under: Blautia hydrogenotrophica
Lineage: Bacteria; Bacillati; Bacillota; Clostridia; Lachnospirales; Lachnospiraceae
Also listed under: 1 other name
Description: ZTP sequence
Rfam family: ZMP/ZTP riboswitch aptamer (pfl RNA motif)
About the family: Previously known as pfl RNA. ZMP is also known as AICAR.
Source: RNAcentral
GAGAUUUCUAAUUACUGACGGAUAAUUGUGGAAUACCACAGGGGAAUUAGAAAUCUGAAACGCCGACCGUCUGGGCAACAUUU